Long non-coding RNA from Leopardus geoffroyi (Geoffroy's cat), 619 nucleotides. RefSeq lists it as uncharacterized. The record is from RefSeq and is a predicted model, not a curated record. The transcript is spliced from 3 exons. NCBI's taxonomy places the organism in Eukaryota, Metazoa, Chordata, Mammalia, Carnivora, Felidae.
CAACAGCAAAAUGUCCUGCUGAGCAAGCAUUUGGUGGACAGUUUCAAAGUAUCACAGGGUAAAAAGUGAAUGCUAGAAAUGAUCUAAUCCAACCUUUCAUCAUAAAUACAUUUGGGGUAUAUGAUUGUCUUUCUUUUCUACAGAUGAAGAGGUAAACUUGAAAUUUGGAGUUAUAAAUGACAGCUGCAAUGUUAUGCCAACUUGAUUUAGCAUAAAAGUUAUUUCUGUAUUUUGAUUGCUCAGCAUCAAGAUCAUCUGGAUCCACAUAGGUGCUGGUGAUUCAGCAGAGAGCAAGAGAGGACAAGUCCCUGCUCUCCGAGUUAUAUUCUAUAAGGCGGCAGGGACUAUUUUGAUAGGAGCCUUCAGGGAAGCCCUCACAGUAAGGCGAUCAGAAUUAAGUAAGGAACUGAACCACAGGAAUAUCUGGGGGAAGAGUUUUCCAAAUGGAACAGCAACAGAAGGGCUUUAAGAUCCCCAUAGGCUGCACCAGAAUGUAAUGGACAGUAGGGGACCUGUACCUCAGCUACUGCUUCUGUGUCUGUGAGUCCCCACUGGAAACACUUGCAAAAGGCCUAUUUGCGUGCGAUCGGGUCAGUCACCCUUACUUGAGUGGCAUGUG